This 778-nucleotide ribosomal RNA is filed under the name uncultured bacterium. RNAcentral describes it as "bacterial SSU rRNA". It matches the Rfam family "Bacterial small subunit ribosomal RNA", at positions 114 to 925 of the family's 1533-position model. The record is from RNAcentral.
CACGUGGAUAAUCUGCCCUGGAGUGGGGAAUAACGCUGGGAAACCGGCGCUAAUACCGCAUAUUCCCGAGAGGGGAAAGCAGCAAUGCGCUCGAGGAGGAGUCCGCGGCCGAUUAGCUAGUUGGUAGGGUAAAAGCCUACCAAGGCUAUGAUCGGUAGCCGGCCUGAGAGGGCACACGGCCACACUGGCACUGAAACACGGGCCAGACUCCUACGGGAGGCAGCAGUGGGGAAUCUUGCACAAUGGGGGAAACCCUGAUGCAGCGACGCCGCGUGAGCGAUGAAGCCCUUCGGGGUGUAAAGCUCUUUCGGCAGGGAAGAUUAUGACGGUACCUGCAGAAGCAGCUGCGGCUAACUACGUGCCAGCAGCCGCGGUAAUACGUAGGCAGCAAGCGUUGUUCGGAGUUACUGGGCGUAAAGGGUGUGUAGGUGGCCUGUUAAGUUCCGUGUGAAAUCUCCCGGCUCAACCGGGAGGGUGCGCGGAAAACUGGCGGGCUAGAGUACGGGAUGGGAGAGUAGAAUUCCUGGUGUAGCGGUGAAAUGCGUAGAUAUCAGGAGGAAUACCGGUGGUGUAGACGGCUCUCUGGACCGUAACUGACACUGAGACACGAAAGCGUGGGUAGCAAACAGGAUUAGAUACCCUGGUAGUCCACGCCCUAAACGAUGCAUAUUUGGUGUAGGCAGUUCAUUCUGUCUGUGCCGGAGCUAACGCGUUAAAUAUGCCGCCUGGGGAGUACAGUCGCAAGACUGAAACUCAAAGGAAUUGACGGAAUCGAAUU